UACGUAGGGAGCAAGCGUUGUCCGGAAUCAUUGGGCGUAAAGCGCGCGUAGGCGGCCCUGUAAGUCCGUUGUGAAAGUCAAGGGCUCAACCUUUGAAAGCCGAUGGAUACUGCAGGGCUAGAGUCCGGAAGAGGCGAGUGGAAUUCCUGGUGUAGCGGUGGAAUGCGCAGAUAUCAGGAGGAACACCAAUAGCGAAGGCAGCUCGCUGGGACGGUACUGACGCUAAGGCGCGAAAGCGUGGGGAGCGAACAGG
RNAcentral lists this ribosomal RNA (253 nucleotides) under uncultured bacterium. RNAcentral's name for it is "partial 16S ribosomal RNA". It matches the Rfam family "Bacterial small subunit ribosomal RNA", at positions 524 to 776 of the family's 1533-position model. The record is from RNAcentral.